GACCAAGUAGCUCAGUCGGUAGAGCACAUCCCUUUUAAGGAUGGGGUCCCGGGUUCGAGCCCCGGCUUGGUCA
RNAcentral lists this transfer RNA (73 nucleotides) under Bacteroidales bacterium. RNAcentral's name for it is "tRNA-Lys". It matches the Rfam family "tRNA". Rfam says of the family: Transfer RNA (tRNA) molecules are approximately 80 nucleotides in length. Their secondary structure includes four short double-helical elements and three loops (D, anti-codon, and T loops). The record is from RNAcentral. Lineage: Bacteria; Pseudomonadati; Bacteroidota; Bacteroidia; Bacteroidales.